RNAcentral lists this long non-coding RNA (33108 nucleotides) under Jatropha curcas. Its description in RNAcentral is "long non-coding RNA (JCUR_LNC000546)". Lineage: Eukaryota; Viridiplantae; Streptophyta; Magnoliopsida; Malpighiales; Euphorbiaceae. The record is from RNAcentral.
AAAAUAUUUCGUAUACGUAGAUAUAAUUGAAAUUAGGAAAAUUACAAAAUCCCACCUAUAUACAUGGUAAGACAAUUGUAUAAUUAAUUAAGUUUUUGCUUAAUUGUUAUUAUAUAUGCAAGACUAUAUAAUAUUCUUCUUUAAGAGUGGCAGAUAACUUUGUCAUAUCUUGUAGAAGUUAUCAUCAGCUGAGUAUUAAUAAUAGUAUUAUUACAAUAACCUUGUCUUGUAACCAUUGGACAGUUAAUUACUUGUACAAAAUAUAUUACUUAUAAACUUAAUUAUAAUUAACUACAUUACCUAUAAAAUGUUGUUACGGAUGACAGGGAUGUGGGCAUUCUGCCAUGCGGUUAAAGAAAUGCCUCUUAAUUAUUAUUCGGAUCUUCAUAAUUAAGGGAAGUGAUAAAAUAGGUUUUAGAGAAUUAUAAAAAAUAUAAUUAUUGUAUUUAGCAGAAAUAAUUUACCUAAUACGGCAUGUGAUAAAAUAAUUUUUAGAAAUCGAUAAAUAGAAGUGAAAUGGAGAAAAUAAUUAAGAAAUCAAAAUGUUGAAGCAUGUGACUUAAAGAUUAAUAAAAUAGGAUAUGAUUUAUUACAAAGAAUAAAGUGAACAAAUUAAAUAUUCAUGACCUUAUUAAAGCCACAUAUAAAACAAAAACCAUAAACCUAACCAAUUAAGAAAAUGGAAACACGAAACAUAUGGUGUAAAAAUGAGCAAAAGGCAACACCAAUUAAUCAGAAAAGCCAAGUCAACAUUGAAAAAUAUUAUUUUAAUUUUUAUGUUAUCGAGUAUUAAAAUGAGUGAUUUAACGCUCUUUCCUUAUAAAUGAUAAAUGAAGUCGAGAGUUGGAUCAUUAUAUGAAUAACUGAUUUGACAUGAGCAAACUGAAUCAUUCAAUGAAAUUAUUUCAAGUUUUCAUAAAAAGUACAUAGAUAAAUUUAUAUAUUUAGUCAAUCAUCUUUUAAUAUUUUUGUUUUUAAAUCUUGACACAUUAAUCUCAAACUAGAAUUCGAUUUUUUCAUGAAUUUAACAUCAAUAAUUAUACAAAUUUAAACCAAAAUUCAGAAGGAAAAUCACAAUAGUCAUGGCAGGGAUGGAGUUGAUGUCAAGAUAUACUAUAUUAUAUGUGGGUAUUUUGGGAUGACAUUGAAUGGGAUGCCCUGAUAUACUAUAUUAUAAUCUACGAUUUUGUAAAAACGAGCUUAUCGGCUAUUAAAUUUUAAAAUUAUAUUGAGAUACAUGAAUAAUAACUUAACCUAUUUCAAUACAAUUUAUAAAAUAUAACUGCUAAUUAUUGAGUUCAUUAUCAUAUAUGGUGGAGUUUAUAAUUUCCUUUUUUUUUUUUUUUGAAUUUUACUUUUAAAAAUAAUGACUUUUUAACAAGAGGAUCAUGUAUUAUGAUUAUGGUAGAAUGGAGUGAGCAAAAAGUUGGACGGCAUUGACUGUCACUAUUAUCACACUGCAAGAAAUUAGAAAACGAUGAAUAGUACAGCUCAAUAACUUCAGCACAUAAACGAAUUCCCCAUUUUCUUUCUCUAUAUAACAAAGACUAAGAAGAUCCAAAUGAACAUCCCGCAGCUUCUACUAUACUAAAUAGAGCUAUGGCAAUUAAAUGUGCUUUAGCCUCCAUCUUGGUCCAUCUAGUUCUAGCCAGCUUACCAACUUACACCAUUGGCAGCCGGUUGCUGCCACUCAACCGAAGCAGUUUUCCGCCUGGUUUUAUUUUUGGAGCCGGUUCUUCUGCUUAUCAAGUAUGAUCUUUCUUUUCUUUUGAAAAAAGAACAAAGAAAUUUUCUUGACUAGUAUUUUCUUUAACAGUCUGAAGGAGCAGCACUGAUAGAUGGCAGAGGACCAAGCAUAUGGGAUACUUUUGUGAGGGAACAAUCAGGUUUGAAUAGAAGAAGAAGAAGAAAAAAAAAAAAACUUUGUUGUUUUAUGCUUUGUAAAUCCUUUUACUAUGAGUAAUGAAUUUAUGUUUUUCCUCUUCAUCUUUAUCCCUUCCUUUGUUAUGUGUUUAAGAUAUUUUUGUUUUGUCGUUUCUUUGAAAAUGCUAAAACCAGCUUUCCUACCCCAUUUUCUAACCAUUUUUAUGUGUUUUGAAAAAAUUUUACCUUUGCGUGGCAGAAAAAAUUAAGGAUCGCAGUACAGGAGAUGUAGCUGACGAUUUUUAUCACCGUUACAAGGUAUUAUUAUGAAAAAUUAAGCAUAGUAUACAUAUAUAUAGUAUUUUUAUUCCUCUAUAUAUUUUGCUUGCUUGCUUUGGAUUCAGGAGGACAUAAAACUAAUGAAAAAGAUUGGUCUGGACUCCUUCAGGUUCUCCAUUUCGUGGAGUAGAAUCUUACCAAGUAAGAGAAGGAAUUUAUGAAAGAUAAAUUGGGAUAGAAUAAUUAAUGAGUCUGAAUCUUAAUUCAUUACAAUGGAAAAGUACAACAAUAUGCUAAAAUAGGUAUAUAUAUUCUAGGUUAGGUGAGGAAUUAUUAAGGUGUAACACUUUUCUCCUUUUUCCUUUUUUUUUUUUAUUUUUUAUUUUUUUUUCCAGAGGGGAAAAUCAAUGGGGGAGUGAAUGCACUGGGUGUUCAAUUUUACAAUGACCUCAUCAACAAUCUACUUUCCAAUGGUCAAUUACCAUUAUCUUUCACUAUAUAUAUUUUUAUUUUCCUGAUUAAUUACUUAAUAUGUUUUCACUAAAAUAGUAAAUUGAGCAUGCAGGUAUAAAGCCCUUUGUGACUUUACUCCAUUUCGACCCUCCACAAGCUCUGGAAGAUGAGUAUGGUGGUUUUCUAAGCCCACAAAUAGUGUAAGUGACAAAUUUUCAUAUAUAUAUAUAAGAAUAUGUUCGGUAAAAUUAAUUUUGUAGCAGCUAUUGAAUAUUUUAGUAACUGUUAACUGUUUAAAUAGCCUUUCAUCAACGUUCAAGUGAGUAACAUUUCAUAAUGCUCUCUCUCAAAUUCUUCUCACUAUUAUAAAAGAUAUAUUGUGGUUACAUGAAAAGCUGUUGCCGAACAUGACCGAAGAACAUUCUAUAUUUUUCAUUUAUUUUUAAUAUGUAACAAUAUAAUAUGAAUGUCUCUAAUUCGAUGAAUAUAUAUAUAUAUAGGAAAGAUUAUGUGGAGUAUGCAGACUUUUGUUUCAAAACAUUUGGCGAUCGAGUGAAGCUUUGGGUGACCAUAAAUGAACCCAACAUAUUUGUCAUCCAAGGUUAUGACUCCGGUGUCUUGGCACCUGGUCGAUGCUCCCACCUUGUAGGAAAUUGCUCUGCCGGAAACUCUGCAACUGAACCUUACAUCGUCAUGCACCACCUACUUCUCAGCCAUUCAGCUGCUGUCAAAUUGUAUAGGGACAAGUACGAGGUAACUAAUACUUUACCAGUAAUUAAAUGUAUUGCAUCUCCAGACGAAUUUUUCUUGACUACUAAGUGAUAAAUUUAACAUUUGCAGGUUAUCCAAAAGGGACAAAUCGGAAUUACGAUAGCAAGUGAAUGGUAUAUUCCAAAGUACAAUACAUCUUCUAGCCGCUUGGCUACCUCUAGAGUCUUGGAUUUUAACUUUGGAUGGUAAGCACUAAAUCUAUAUAUAUAUAUCCGAAAUAACAAGAUGAACUAUACAACAGUGAUAUCUCUUAACUCAUUAAAUUAGUAAAAAUUCUUAUAGUCGAAACUACUCGAACUCAAGACCUCUAUAAUAUGAGAAAAUCAACCAGACCACACUUGAUUGACUGUAAUUUCAUUUUUUCUUUGAGGUGACAAUAUUAGAACUAUAUUUUUGCAGGAUUGCACAUCCAAUUACAUAUGGAAGCUAUCCCCGAAGCAUGAGAGAACUAGUGGGAAGUAGAUUGCCAAAAUUCACUCAAGAACAAUCAAAAAUGAUAAAAGGGUCCUUUGAUUUUAUUACCCUAAAUUACUACUCAACAUAUUAUGCAGAAACUGCUCCACUUGCUAACGGUGCCAUCCUUAGUUAUACUGCUGACCAACGUGUAAAUACAACUUGUAGGUUCAAAUUUUUUAAAGCUUUAAUGAUUAUACAAUUAAGCUUUGAAGAAAAAAUUUUAAUUAAUCUAUUAAUACUAAUUAAUACUAUGCAUUUCGUCACCGCAGCAGAAAGGAAUGGAGUUCCCAUCGGCACACCGGUAUAUCUUUCUUUUUUCUUUCACACAUCGCCAUAUUGAUACCAAUGAGAUAGGNNNNNNNNNNNNNNNNNNNNNNNNNNNNNNGUACUAAUUGCAUAUUGAAGGGUAAGUUGCUCAAAAUUAAAGAACUUCAAUUUACGAAGAAAAAUGCAUCAGAAUUAAAUUUUCUUGGAAUCAUAAUGAACAAAGAAAAUGUGAUUAGCUGCUAAUUAUAUGUUGACAUUUUGCUUGGUGUUGCUUAGACUGUUUUGAGCUGGCUUUACAUCUAUCCAAAAGGAUUGGAAGAGCUUUUGCUAUAUGUGAAGGAAAAUUACAACAAUCCUACUAUUUUUUUUUUACAGAGGUUAAUUAAUGGUUUUAAUCUGCAUUAAUUCCUUGCAGGAAUGGCUGACGAUGCCUCUUUGCCGCUUGAAGUUGGCCUUAAAGAUGGUUUAAGAAUAAGAUACCUUAGUAGUCACUUAUCUUAUCUUUUAAGGGCAAUCAAGUAAAUUUUUUUUAAUUAUUUUUACUUUUAACAAUUAAUUAAUUAAUUGGUGAUAUUAAACAAAUUAAUCACGAUUUAAUUGAAAUUUUGCAGGAAGGGUGUUAAUGUAAAAUCAUACUAUAUAUGGUCAUUUUUUGAUGACUUUGAAUGGAGCAGUGGCUACACCAUUCGAUUUGGCAUCACUUAUGUUGAUUAUAAGAAUAAUCUGAAACGAUACCUCAAGUACUCAGCCUAUUGGUUCAAAUUGUUCCUUGCAAAUUAAUUAUGUUUGAAGACCUCCCAAAUACUUUUUACUCUUCAUUUUCCAAUAAAAAAAUAAUAAAAAAAUGCUUUGUGUAACUUACAAUAAUAGUGCGGUUAAUUCAACCGAUCGAAUUAGUCCAUUUGACAAGAAUGUGCUCUCGUUUCUUUUUAAUAAGAGCUCGAUUUCAUGGAUAUGUGAGUUGAUUUGCAUGGAAAAAAUCCAAAUUUCUUAAAUAAAAGAUCGAGCGUUUUCAUCUUUAUGAAUCGAGAAAAAAAAAAGUUUAAAUAUAUAUUUUUUCAUUCUUGCAUUCUCUUCUUUAGUUGUACAAUCCAACCACUUUCCUUUUGUAUUGUCAUUUUUAAAUUAUUAUACCAAUUAAUGUGUCAAAAUGGAUUGACGCGUUGGUCGACACGAAAUCGCCUAACACUAGACACGAUUAUAGUGAACAUGAACACAACCUGUUUAACAAUUGUGUCAUAUAUUUAAAUACGAACAUGACAUAAAAAUUAAACGAAUGAUACAUAUAUGAUGCAAUUAAAUGGGUCAUAUAUGAGUCAAAAACUUUAAUUUAAUUUAAUUAAAUAUGUCAUAUACGGUUCAGAAAUACGAUACAUAUAAUAUGUAUAACUUGUAUAACCUACUUAAUAUACUUAAUAUUCUUAAAUAAAUGGGGUACACGAAAUAGACUAGUCAACCGUGAUACACUACGUUUAAACUCGAGUUAUAUAUGGGGCAUCCGUUUAUAAUGCAAAAUCAUUUUGACUCAACCUUAAUCCAUUUAAUUUUCGUAUUAGGCGAACUGUUUACCGUGUCAUGACUCAUUUUGACAGCCCCGGCCUAGCAUAUGCCAUCUAAUCCCCUCCGUAGUCCAACUUCAGUGCUCUACAUUUUUUUUGUUACAAUAGAGGUUCUAUUCAACAAAUUUAACUGUUUUAGUUGCUAUUAGCCGUUUUAGUAGCUGUCAACUGUUUUAAUAGUGGUUAGCAGUUAAUGGUUAACGAUUAUACAGUGAUUUAGAAUAAAGUGUUUGGUACAAAUAACUGUUUAAUUAGCUGUUUAAAUAAGGUAAAGAAAAGUGAUAGAUACAGGCGUUAUAGAGAAAUUAUAAAAUGUUAUAAAGAUAACGUUUUAUAAAAUAUUGUCUCAACUCUAAAUAUUAGAAUAUAUAUUGUAUUAUCAAAUACUAUAAUUAAUUAAGAUAGAAUUUCAAUCCUAUUAAAACACUAAACAGUACUUCAAAAUCCAUUAGUGCAACAGAAAUGCAACUUAAGAAGACCACAGAAAAGUCAAAAAAAACCAUUCCACCGUUCCAUCCAUAAUUUAGAUUAAUUUAUAAUAAUUAUAUAGACAGUGACACAUGCUGUAUUUUAAUAUAUUUUUCACGUGUGUGUCUGCCACUCAACUACCAUUGUUCUUGGCUGAUACUAUAAUUGAUGUCUAAUUGUUUCAACUACCCAUUUUAAAAAUCUCCCCUUAUGGAAUUUGACUUAAAUUCUAACUACCCUUUCUUCCUCUUCUUUGUUUUUAUAAAUCUAUCGGGCCCCAUUGAAUGUUUAAGUUCAUCUGGUUAUUAUACAACUCCGUUUAAUCGGAGCAGUUUUCCGGCAGAUUUUAUAUUUGGAGCAUCCUCAAGUGCUUACCAGGUAGCUAGUCUCUGCAACCAUAGAGUUUUUUUUUUUCUUUUUUAAAUUUCUUUUCCAUUUAACUGCAUUUCUUGCUUCAUUGUAUAGUAUGAAGGAGCAACUCAGGUUGAUGGAAGACGACCAAGCAUUUGGGAUACAUUCGUCAGGGAAUUCCCAGGUUCUACAUCGUUAAAACGACUUAUAUUUGUAGAGAGAGGAAUUAAUUUACAAUUUAUCAUAUGAAAUCAGUCUAUGAUUGCUUUGACUCGUGUAAUUUUAAUUUUCCCAGUCAAUUUUUAAAUAUUUUUUCUCCUUUUAUUUUUAAGAUAAUUUUUUUUCUCUUAUUUCUCUUUUCACUAACUUCAAAAUAUGAGAUAUCUUAUAGAGUUAAAACUCAAAACAUGGCAGAAAAAAUUGCAGAUCAUAGCAAUGGAAAUAUAGCCGAAGAAUUUUAUUAUCUUUAUAAGGUAUGUCUAAGAAAAUUAUGUAUUCAUCAAUGUCAAAAUAUAAACUCCUUCUAUUGCUAGUUACAUAUACAUGUAUGUGUGUUUAUAUAUAGGAGGACAUUGCUCGGAUGAAAGAAAUUGGAUUAGACUCCUUCAGAUUUUCCCUUUCAUGGCCCAGAAUAUUACCUUGUAAGAACAUCAUUUCGUAAUUGGUUAAUUAUAAUUUUGGAAUUUUAAUCACUUGGAAUGGAUUUUUUUUCUUAAAUUCUCAGAUGGGAAAAUCAGUGGAGGUGUGAACCAGAAAGGUGUUGAUUUCUACAAUUUUAUCGUUGAUGAGUUAAUAUCAAAUGGUAAUUUUUUUUAUAUUUCACAAAUUGAAUCCUUUUAAAUUAAGAUAAUAACAUUUUAAUUAUCAUCUAAAUAUACUAGUAUUUACAUUUUGAGCAGGCAUUCAACCCUUAGUGACUCUAUUCCAUUGGGAUGUUCCUCAAGCCAUUGAAGAUGAGUAUGGUGGAUUCUUAAGCUCUGAAAUUGUGUAAGCUAAUCAGCUAAUCUUUUUAAGAAAGGUUAAUUGCAAAUGGGAAAUUAAUUGAUCAAUUCUAAGACUUGUACAGGGAUGAUUAUCGCAAUUACGCGGAUUUUUGCUUCAAAGAAUUUGGUGAUAGAGUAAAGUAUUGGGUGACUAUAAACGAGCCUGACAUAGUAGGUCUUAAAGGGUAUGCAUCAGGCAUUAAUGCACCCGGUCGGUGUUCUAGCUACAUCGGAAAUUGCACGGUGGGGAAUUCUGCGACAGAGCCAUAUAUGGUGGUUCAUAACAUGAUUCUUUCUCAUGCAGCUGCUGUAAAAUUAUACAGGGAGAAAUAUCAGGUGAGGAUAAUUCUUUUUUAUGCAGCAGAAGUUUUUGGGAAAAGACUUGUCCAAAUCUCCAAUUUUAGUAAUUUGGAUUCUUUUUAGGCUUCUCAAAAGGGUAAACUUGGGAUUACAGUAUCAGUUAGAUGGAUGGUGCCCAAAUACCCCACAGUUUCUUGCAGAAAGGCAGCCUCUACUGCUCUUGAUUUUUCAUUUGGAUGGUAAGUGUCUCUAUGCUAAAUAUAAAGAAAUAAUCUUUUAUCAAUGGCGAAUUCUGUGGAUAGAAGUGGAUUGCGUCUAGUGAAUUUUACCUAUAAAAUUAUUAUUUUUUGGAUACCUAAUUUAAUUAUUAAUGUUAAUAUGUGUAGGGUUGUUCAUCCCUUAGUAUAUGGUGAAUAUCCUGAGAGCAUGAGAGACUUGGUGGGGACUCGAUUGCCUAAUUUUACAGAAGAAGAAACAGAGAUGGUCAAAGGGUAUUUUGAUUUUGUUGGAAUAAAUUAUUACACUGCAAGAUAUGCAGAAGAAGCCACAUCUUAUAGUAGCAUCUACCUAAGUUAUACUACAGAUAGUCGAGUUAAUCUAACAAGUGAGUCCAAAGAUAAGAUUAAUUGGUGGUUUUAACUAAUUGAUUAUUCAUCAAUCUUGAUUUUUUUUUUUUUUUAUUCGAUUCAAUUUCAUUCACAAAAUGUUUGUAAUUUACUGUCGGCAGCUGAGAAAAAUGGGAUUCCUAUCGGUCCACAGGUAUUCCUUUUUAUAUAUAUAUAUUUUUUCCCAUAAUGUACAAUUUUAAUUUAAUUUUUAAUACAUAAAUAUUACACUAAUUAUUUCUCAAUUUUUUGCUUAGGCUGCUCCUAGUUGGCUUUACGUUUACCCAAAGGGAAUUCGAGAAAUUUUGCUAUAUACAAAGAGUAAAUACAACAAUAUUCCCAUUAUUGUCACUGAGAAUGGUAUAAACAGCAAUCAUUUAAUAAUUUUCCGCAAUUUCUUAUUUAACAAUUAAUGAUGUCUAACGUGUGUGUGUGUGUGUAUAUAUAUAUAUAUAGGAUGGCUGAUCCAAAUAAUAGCUCCAUUUCCAUUAAUGAUGCUCUAAAUGAUAAUUUGAGGAUCAAAUACCAUUUUCUUCAUCUAUCAUAUCUGUUAGAAGCUAUUAAGUAAGUUUCAAUAUUUGGGUUUCAAUUUAAGGUACUAUAGUUCUUCCUAAGAGAAAAAAAAAAUAAUAGGUAUGAUCUUUGGCAUGCAGAGAUGGAGUUGACGUAAGAGGAUAUUACGUGUGGUCAUUUCUAGAUGACUUUGAGUGGGAACUUGGUUAUACGGUUCGAUUUGGCAUUAAUUUUGUUGAUUAUGAAAAUGGAUUGAAAAGAUAUUACAAGCACUCUGCUUUAUGGUUCAAAGAUUUCCUCCAAAUGGAGAAUGUAACUUCCUCUUCUUUGUUGUAUUCUCAAUGAUUGAUGGAUUAAUUUCAUAAUACUAUAUAUUUAAUAUUGUUUAUUUAGUGAUAUAAUUAUGUUCUAUAAAUCCCUAUCAUUUUUGGAUUUUGAUAGUAACAACUUAUGAUUAAAUUCAUAAUUAUUGGUUAAGGUUUUCUUAGUUAUGUGUUUUUUUUUUUUUUUUAAUAAAGAAUAAUUAAGAUUGUUGUUAUGACUGGGAGGUGAGAAAAUCAGAAGCUAAAAGAAAUCAUGAGGAGCUUAGGUGAAGAAAUCUUACAAAAAUUAUAUAAAUUAUUAAAUGAAUUGGGGAAUAUUUGGUAGGUAUGGUAAGUAGGGCAUUAUUGAAAUUAAUUAUAAGCAUUUUAUGCAGGAAUGAGUACUUUUCAGCUAAUAUGUGGUAGUUGUUGAGUUAUUUUCAGCUAGAUCAUAGAUGUCAUUGUAUUCCAUAUUUCUCCAUAAACAUUGAUGUUAUUGUAAUACUACAAAUACAGUUGAAUUCAAAAAAUAAAUAAUUUCCUUUAAUUAAUCAAUAAAUUGAAAUAACGGGUAAUCUUUGCACUCCUGUGAGAAGACCAACCAGACAAAGUUCUUUUCAUAUUUUGUCUAUUUUGUGAACUAUAAGAAUUGUAGCAUAAACGAAAUUCGUAACUUAAAAGGAAUCCAAAUCUUUUAAGUAACGCGUCGUGCAAGUUGAAAAAUAAGAAUUUAUUAUUGGAAAAAAAAUAUAUAAGAAGUAAUAUUGGUUUAGAGAAAGAAUGCCUAUUUGUCUUUUGUUUAGCUCUGAUAAAAGAAUUGUUACCUUCCUACAUAAUUAAUAUUCUGCUAAAUGACAGAGCACUUAGAUUUUCAUAUAUAUAUAUAUAUAUAUGAUGAAAUAAAUUAAGAUGAGCUGCCAUUUCUGAGAUGUUAGUUCUCAAUUCUGGUAAGUGUGAGUUCUUCUUCUUCCUCUCUUUCUUUCGACUUUUCUUUUCCUUCUCUGGUCUUUCUUCAAUCUCUGCAAUUUCUUCCAUAUCCGGUUAACAGGUUAGGUAUCACAUAUAAAUAUUAUAAUAAUGAAAUGAGCAUUAGAACCACUUAACACCUAUCAUCCUGCUCGGCAAAAGGCACGUUAAUCUUGCAAAAUAUAUCUAAACUUUCUUCAUUUUCUUGUGUGCUAAUCUUAAUACUGUUCUUUUAUUUUCAAUUCACGAUUGCUGUUUUUUUAUUAUGAUUAUUGUCUUGUUGACAAAAUGAACACCAAUUCUUUUUUUUUUUGUCUUUUCUUGACUUUGGGAGACGUUGAACCCCACAUGUUCUGUUUUUUUCUUUUUCUGAGAGAUAAUGAACCCCACUGAUAUUGAUGAUGAUGGUUGCAGGGAUUUUGUACUGUACUGAAUAUGAAAACUGAACAUUAUCUCUUCUUCUUUCUCAUACCAAUCAUACAUUUGUGGGUUCUUACUGAGGGAUUGGAAGCUUAUAAUCUCCAUAACUCUGUUGCUCCAAUCAGUAGGAAUAGUUUUCCAAAAGAUUUUAUAUUCGGAGUAGCUUCAAGUGCUUGCCAGGUAAUUGAUUUUAUUUUUUUCCAGGAAAAUGUUUCUGGUUUUACUACAAUUUUCAAUCUCACAUUUGGUUUAGCUUUAAAUUUAGAGUGAAGGAGCAGCAGAUACUGAUGGCAAGAAACCAAGCAUUUGGGAUACCUUUACCAAGAACUACCCACGUAAUAUCCAAAUACAAAACCUAAUUAAUUCAUUAUUGUUUUAAAUUAUAAAUAUUUCAUCAGUAGAAGACCAGAAAGCAGCCAUGAGAGAAAUUCAUUUUCUUUUUGGUUGGUAAGUUUCAUAAUUAGUAUUGUAAAUUAUAUUAUUUAUAAUUUGCUGAUCCUGAAAAUUUUGUGUAGGUUUGCUCAUCCAGAAGUAAUGAAAUCUUUAGUGGGAGAACGACUGCCUAAAUUUACUAAACGACAAUCUGAUAUGCCAAAAGGGUCUCUUGAUUUCUUGGGAGUAAAUUACUACACCACAUAUUUUGUUGCAAACAACCUAUUAUCAAUGCCAAUAAAGUUGGAGCUCUGUAGUCAAACCACUUUUUCUGGUAAUUAAGUUUAUCUAUGCUAGAAAAAUAUUUCGUAUACGUAGAUAUAAUUGAAAUUAGGAAAAUUACAAAACCCCACCUAUAUACAACCAAUUAAGAAAAUGGAAACACGCAACAUAUGGUGUAAAAAUGAGCAAAAGGCAACACCAAUUAUAUUAAUAACUGACUUGACAUGAACAGCUGAAUCAUUCAAUGGAAUUAUUUCAAGUUUUCAUAAAAAGUACAUAAAUAAAUUUAUAUAUUUAGUCAAUCAUCUCUUAAUAUUUUUGUUUCUAAAUCUUGACACAUUAAUCUCAAACUAGAAUUCGAUUUUUUCAUGAAUUUAACAUCAAUAAUUAUACAAAUAAAUUCAGAAGGAAAAUCACAAUAGUUAUGGCAGGAAUGGAGUUGAUGUCAAGAUACUAUAUCAUAUGUGGGUAUUUUAGGAUGACAUUGAAUGGGAUGCUGAAUACAUAAUUUGAUUUAUUUUGCUAUUAUAAUCUCCGAUUUUAUAAGAAUGAGCUUAUCAGCUAUUAAAUUUUAAAAUUAUGUGGAGAUUAAUGAAUAAUAACUUAACCUAUUUCAAUACAAUUUAUACAAUAUAACAGCUAAUUAUUGAGUUCAUUAUUAUAUAUGGUGGAGUUUAUAAUUUCUUUUUGUUUUUUUUUAAUUUUACUUUUAAAAAUAAUGACUUUUUUACAAAGAGGAUCAUGUAUUAUGAUUAUGGUAACAUGGACUGAGCAAAAAGUUGGUACGGCAUUGACUGUCACUAUUAUCACACUGCAAGAAAUUAGAAAAACGAUGAAUAGUACAGCUCAAUAACUUCAGCACCUAAACGAAGUCCCCAUAUUCUUUCUCUAUAUAACACAGACUAAGAAGAUCCAAAUGAACAUCCCGCAGCUUCUACUAUACUAAAUAGAGCUAUGGGAAUUAAAUGUGCUUUAGCCUCCAUCUUGGUCCAUCUAGUUCUAGCUAGCUUACCAACUUACACCAUUGGCAGCCGGUUGCUGCCACUCAACCGAAGCAGUUUUCCGCCUGGUUUUAUUUUUGGAGCCGGUUCUUCUGCUUAUCAAGUAUGAUCUUUCUUUUCUUUUGAAAAAGAAGGAAGAAAUUUUCUUGACUAGUAUUUUCUUUAACAGUCUGAAGGAGCAGCACUGAUAGAUGGCAGAGGACCAAGCAUAUGGGAUACUUUUGUGAGGGAACAAUCAGGUUUGAAUAGAAGAAGAAGAAGAAAAAAAAAAAAACUUUGUUGUUUUAUGCUUUGUAAAUCCUUUUACUAUGAGUAAUGAAUUUAUGUUUUUCCUCUUCAUCUUUAUCCCUUCCUUUGUUAUGUGUUUAAGAUAUGCUUUUUCUCGAUUCUUUGAAAAUGCUAAAACCAGCUCUCCUACCCGAUUUUCUAACCGUUUUAUGUGUUUUGAAAAAAUUUUACCUUUGUGUGGCAGAAAAAAUUAAGGAUCGCAGUACAGGAGAUGUAGCUGACGAUUUUUAUCACCGUUACAAGGUAUUAUUAUGAAAAAUUAAGCAUAGUAUACAUAUAUAUAGUAUUUUUAUUCCUCUAUAUAUUUUGCUUGCUUGCUUUGGAUUCAGGAGGACAUAAAACUAAUGAAAAAGAUUGGUCUGGACUCCUUCAGGUUCUCCAUUUCGUGGAGUAGAAUCUUACCAAGUAAGAGAAGGAAUUUAUGAAAGAUAAAUUGGGAUAGAAUAAUUAAUUGUUUCUGAAUCUUAAUUCAUUACAAUGGAAAAGUACAACAAUAUGCUAAAAUAGGUAUAUAUAUUCUUGGGUAGGUGAGGAAUUAUUAAGUUGUAACACUUUUCUCCUUUUUCCUUUUUUUUUUUUAUUUUUUAUUUUUUUUUCCAGAGGGGAAAAUCAAUGGGGGAGUGAAUCCACUGGGUGUUCAAUUUUACAAUGACCUCAUCAACAAUCUACUUUCCAAUGGUCAAUUAUCAUUAUCUUUCACUAUAUAUAUUUUUAUUUUCCUGAUUAAUUACUUAAUAAGUUUUCACUAAGAUGGUAAACUGAGCAUGCAGGUAUAAAGCCCUUUGUGACUUUACUCCAUUUCGACCCUCCACAAGCUCUGGAAGAUGAGUAUGGUGGUUUUCUAAGCCCACAAAUAGUGUAAGUGACAAAUUUUCAUAUAUAUAUAUAUAUUUGAAGAGUUUGUUCGGCAAAAUUAGUUUUGUAGCAGCUAUUAGAUAUUUUUGUAAUUGUUAGCUGUUUAAAUAACCUUUUAUCAACGUUCAAGUGAGUAACAUUUCAUAAUGCGCUCUCUCAAAUUAUAAAAACUAUGCUGUAGCUACAUGAAAAGCCGUUGCUUAACAUGACCGAAGAACAUUCUAUAUUUUUCAUUUAUUUUUAAUAUGCAACUAUAUUAUAUGACUGUCUCUAAUUUGACGAAUAUAUAUAUAGGAAAGAUUAUGUGGACUAUGCAGACUUUUGUUUCAAAACAUUUGGAGAUCGAGUGAAGCUUUGGGUGACCAUAAAUGAACCCAACAUAUUUGUCAUCCAAGGUUAUGACUCCGGUGUCUUGGCACCUGGUCGAUGCUCCCACCUUUUAGGAAAUUGCUCUGCCGGAAACUCUGCAACUGAACCUUACAUCGUCAUUCACCACCUACUUCUCAGCCAUUCAGCUGCUGUCAAAUUGUAUAGGGACAAGUACGAGGUAACUAAUACUUCACCAGUAAUUAAAUGUACUGCAUCUCCAGACGAAUUUUUCUUGUAAGAUCAAGAGAUUUUUAGUACUACUAAGUGAUAAAUUUAACAUUUGCAGGUUAUCCAAAAGGGACAAAUCGGAAUUACGAUAUCAAGUCAAUGGUAUACUCCAAAGUACAAUACAUCUUCUGGCCGCUUGGCUACCUCUAGAGUCUUGGAUUUUUCCUUUGGAUGGUAAGCACUAAAUCUCUCUCUCUCUCUCUCUCUCUCUCUCUCUCUCUCUCUCUCUCUCUCUCUCUCUCUCUCAGUCUUGGAUUUUAACUUUGGAUGGUAAGCACUAAAUCUAUAUAUAUAUAUCCGAAAUAACAAGAUGAACUAUACAACAGUGAUAUCUCUUAACUCAUUAAAUUAGUAAAAAUUCUUAUAGUCGAAACUACUCGAACUCAAGACCUCUAUAAUAUGAGAAAAUCAACCAGACCACACUUGAUUGACUGUAAUUUCAUUUUUUCUUUGAGGUGACAAUAUUAGAACUAUAUUUUUGCAGGAUUGCACAUCCAAUUACAUAUGGAAGCUAUCCCCGAAGCAUGAGAGAACUAGUGGGAAGUAGAUUGCCAAAAUUCACUCAAGAACAAUCAAAAAUGAUAAAAGGGUCCUUUGAUUUUAUUACCCUAAAUUACUACUCAACAUAUUAUGCAGAAACUGCUCCACUUGCUAACGGUGCCAUCCUUAGUUAUACUGCUGACCAACGUGUAAAUACAACUUGUACGUUCAAAUUUUUUAAAGCUUUAAGGAUUAUACAAUUAAGCUUUGAAGAAAAUUUUUUAAUUAAUGUAUUAAUACUAAUUAAUACUAUGCAUUUCGUCACCACAGCAGAAAGGAAUGGAGUUCCCAUCGGCACACCGGUAUAUCUUUCUUUUUUCUUUCACACAUCGCCAUAUUGAUACCAAUGAGAUAGGAUUUUUUUUUUAUUGAAAAAAGAACAUCGUACUAAUUGCAUUUUGAUUUUUGUAAUUAAAAUUUUUCAAGAAAGCCACAAUAUAUUGAAGGGUAAGUUGCUCAAAAUUAAAGAACUUCAAUUUGCGAAGAAAAAUGCAUCAGAAUUAAAUUUUCUUGUAAUCAUAAUGACAAAAGAAAAUGUGAUUAGCAGCUAAUUAUAUGUUGACAUUUUGUCUUGGUGUUGCUUAGACUGUUUUGAGCUGGCUUUACAUCUAUCCAAAAGGAUUGGAAGAGCUUUUGCUAUAUGUGAAGGAAAAUUACAACAAUCCUACUAUUUUCAUUACUGAAAAUGGUAAAUUUAAUUUCCUAUUUUAAUCAAAUAUAAGGUCUUUUAGCUUUUUUUUUUUUUUUUAACAGUGGUUAAUUAAUGGUUUUAAUCUGCAUUAAUUCCUUGCAGGAAUGGCUGACGAUGCCUCUUUGCCGCUUGAAGUUGGCCUUAAAGAUGGUUUAAGAAUAAGAUACCUCAGUGGUCACCUAUCUUAUCUUUUAAGGGCAAUCAAGUAAUUUUUUUUAAUUAUUUUUACUUUUAACAAUUAAUUAAUUAAUUGGAGAUAUUAAACAAAUUAAUCUCGAUUUAAUUGAAAUUUUGCAGGGAGGGUGUUAAUGUAAAAUCAUACUAUAUAUGGUCAUUUUUUGAUGACUUUGAAUGGCGCAAUGGCUACACCAUUCGAUUUGGCAUCACUUAUGUUGAUUAUAAGAAUAAUCUGAAACGAUACCUCAAGUACUCUGCCUAUUGGUUCAAAUUGUUCCUUGCAAAUUAAUUAUGUUUGAAGACCUCCCAAAUAAUAUUUACUCUUCAUUUUCCAAUAAAAAAAAUGCUUUGUGUAACUUACAAUAAUAGUGCGGUUAAUUCAACCGAUCGAAUUAGUCCAUUUGACAAGAAUGUGCUCUCGUUUCUUUUUAAUAAGAGCUCGAUUUCAUCGAUAUGUGAGUUGAUUUGCAUGGAAAAAAAUUUAAAUUUCUUAAAUAAAAGAUCGAGUGUUUUCAUAUUUAUGGAUAGAGAAAAAAAAAGUUUAAAUAUAUAUUUUUCAUUCUUGCAUUCUCUACUUUAGUUGUACAAUCCAACCACUUUCAUUUUGUAUUGUCAUUUUUAAAUUAUUAUACCAAUUGAUGUGUCAAAAUGGGUUGACGUGUAGGUCGACAUGAAACCGCCUAACACUCGACACGAUUAUAGUGAACAUAAACACAACCUGUUUAAUAAUUGUGUCAUAUAUUUAAAUACGAACAUGACAUAAAAAUUAAACGAAUAAUACAUAUAUGAUGCAAUUAAACGGGUCAUAUAUGAAUCAAAAAGUUUAAUUAAAUAUGUCAUAUACAGUUUAGAAACACGAUACAUACAACAUGUAUAACCUGCAUAAACCCACUUAAUAUACAUAUUAUAUAUAAAAUUAUAUUUUUAUUCUUAAAUAAACGGGGUACACAGAUUAGAUGAGUCAACCGUGAUCACUACAUUUAAACUCGAGUUAUAUAUGGGUCAUCCGUUUAUGAUAUGAACCAUUUUGGCUCAACCUCAAAUCAUUUAAUUUUCAUAAUAGGUGAAUUGUGGAAAAGUCAUGACUCAUUUUGACAACCCCGACCUAGCAUAUGCAACCUAAUCCCCUCCGUAGUCCAACUCCAACGCUCUACAUUUAUUUGUUACAAUAGAGGGUCUAUUCAGCAAAUUUAAUUAUUCUAGUAGCUAUUAGCUGUCACCUGUUUUACUAGUGGUUGGCAGUUAAAUAUUAGCAGUUAGUGGUUAAUGAUUAUAUAGUGAUUUAGAAUAAAAGUAUUCGGUACAAAUAACUGUUUGAUUAACUGUUUACUAUGAAAUGAUAAAAAAAUAUAAAAGCGAAAAACAAGAUAAAGACAGGUGAUAAAUAUAGGUGUCAUAAAAAAAUUAUAAUAAAAAUAACAUUUCAUAAAACACUGUCUUAAACUCUAAAUACUCUAGCAGGUAUUAUAUUAUCGAACACCGUAAUUAAUUAAGAUUGUGUUUCAACUCUAUUAAUUAAGAUAGUCAAAACAACCGUUCCACCGUUCUAUCAAUAAUUUAGAUUAAUUUAUAAUAAUUAUAUACACAGUGACACAUGCUGUAUUUUAAUAUAUUUUUCACGUGUGUUUCUGCCACUCAACUGCCAUUGUUUUUUGCUGAUAUUAUAAUUGAUGUCUAAUUGUUUCAACUACCCAUUUUAAAAAUCUCCCCUUAUGGAAUUUGAUUUAAAUUCUAACUACCCUUUCUUCCUCUUCUUUGUUUUUAUAAAUCUAUUGGGCCCCAUUGAAUGUUUAAGUUCAUCUGGUUAUUAUACAACUCCGUUUAAUCGGAGCAGUUUUCCGGCAGAUUUUAUAUUUGGAGCAUCCUCGAGUGCUUACCAGGUAGCUAGUCUCUGCAACCGUAGAGUUUUUUUCUUUUUUAAAUUUCUUUUCCAUUUAACUGCAUUGUUAAUUUGUCCAGUUUCUUGCUUCAUUGUAUAGUAUGAAGGAGCAACUCAGGGUGAUGGAAGACGACCAAGCAUUUGGGAUACAUUCGUCAGGGAAUUCCCAGGUUCUACAUUGUUAAAACGACUUAUAUUUGUAGAGAGAGAGGAAUUAAUUUACAAUUUAUCAUAUGAAAUUAGUCUAUGAUUGCAUUGACUCGUGUAAUUUUAAUUUUCCCAGUCGAUUUUUAAAUAUUUUUUCUCCUUUUAUUUUUAAGAUAAUUUUUUUCUCUUAUUUCUCUUUUCACUAACUUCAAAAUAUGAGAUAUCUUAUGGAGUUAAAACUCAAAACAUGGCAGAAAAAAUUGCAGAUCAUAGCAAUGGAAAUAUAGCCGAAGAAUUUUAUUAUCUUUAUAAGGUAUGUCUAAGAAAAUUAUGUAUUCAUCAAUGUCAAAAUAUAAACUCCUUCUAUUGCUAGUUACAUAUACAUGUAUGUGUGUUUAUAUAUAGGAGGACAUUGCUCGGAUGAAAGAAAUUGGAUUAGACUCCUUCAGAUUUUCCCUUUCAUGGCCCAGAAUAUUACCUUGUAAGAACAUCAUUUCGUAAUUGGUUAAUUAUAAUUUUGGAAUUUUAAUCACUUGGAAUGGAUUUUUUUUCUUAAAUUCUCAGAUGGGAAAAUCAGUGGAGGUGUGAACCAGAAAGGUGUUGAUUUCUACAAUUUUAUCGUUGAUGAGUUAAUAUCAAAUGGUAAUUUUUUUUAUAUUUCACAAAUUGAAUCCUUUUAAAUUAAGAUAAUAACAUUUUAAUUAUCAUCUAAAUAUACUAGUAUUUACAUUUUGAGCAGGCAUUCAACCCUUAGUGACUCUAUUCCAUUGGGAUGUUCCUCAAGCCAUUGAAGAUGAGUAUGGUGGAUUCUUAAGCUCUGAAAUUGUGUAAGCUAAUCAGCUAAUCUUUUUAAGAAAGGUUAAUUGCAAAUGGGAAAUUAAUUGAUCAAUUCUAAGACUUGUACAGGGAUGAUUAUCGCAAUUACGCGGAUUUUUGCUUCAAAGAAUUUGGUGAUAGAGUAAAGUAUUGGGUGACUAUAAACGAGCCUGACAUAGUAGGUCUUAAAGGGUAUGCAUCAGGCAUUAAUGCACCCGGUCGGUGUUCUAGCUACAUCGGAAAUUGCACGGUGGGGAAUUCUGCGACAGAGCCAUAUAUGGUGGUUCAUAACAUGAUUCUUUCUCAUGCAGCUGCUGUAAAAUUAUACAGGGAGAAAUAUCAGGUGAGGAUAAUUCUUUUUUAUGCAGCAGAAGUUUUUGGGAAAAGACUUGUCCAAAUCUCCAAUUUUAGUAAUUUGGAUUCUUUUUAGGCUUCUCAAAAGGGUAAACUUGGGAUUACAGUAUCAGUUAGAUGGAUGGUGCCCAAAUACCCCACAGUUUCUUGCAGAAAGGCAGCCUCUACUGCUCUUGAUUUUUCAUUUGGAUGGUAAGUGUCUCUAUGCUAAAUAUAAAGAAAUAAUCUUUUAUCAAUGGCGAAUUCUGUGGAUAGAAGUGGAUUGCGUCUAGUGAAUUUUACCUAUAAAAUUAUUAUUUUUUGGAUACCUAAUUUAAUUAUUAAUGUUAAUAUGUGUAGGGUUGUUCAUCCCUUAGUAUAUGGUGAAUAUCCUGAGAGCAUGAGAGACUUGGUGGGGACUCGAUUGCCUAAUUUUACAGAAGAAGAAACAGAGAUGGUCAAAGGGUAUUUUGAUUUUGUUGGAAUAAAUUAUUACACUGCAAGAUAUGCAGAAGAAGCCACAUCUUAUAGUAGCAUCUACCUAAGUUAUACUACAGAUAGUCGAGUUAAUCUAACAAGUGAGUCCAAAGAUAAGAUUAAUUGGUGGUUUUAACUAAUUGAUUAUUCAUCAAUCUUGAUUUUUUUUUUUUUUUAUUCGAUUCAAUUUCAUUCACAAAAUGUUUGUAAUUUACUGUCGGCAGCUGAGAAAAAUGGGAUUCCUAUCGGUCCACAGGUAUUCCUUUUUAUAUAUAUAUAUUUUUUCCCAUAAUGUACAAUUUUAAUUUAAUUUUUAAUACAUAAAUAUUACACUAAUUAUUUCUCAAUUUUUUGCUUAGGCUGCUCCUAGUUGGCUUUACGUUUACCCAAAGGGAAUUCGAGAAAUUUUGCUAUAUACAAAGAGUAAAUACAACAAUAUUCCCAUUAUUGUCACUGAGAAUGGUAUAAACAGCAAUCAUUUAAUAAUUUUCCGCAAUUUCUUAUUUAACAAUUAAUGAUGUCUAAGGGAUGGCUGAUCCAAAUAAUAGCUCCAUUUCCAUUAAUGAUGCUCUAUAAUUUGAGGAUCAAAUACCAUUUUCUUCAUCUAUCAUAUCUGUUAGAAGCUAUUAAGUAAGUUUCAAUAUUUGGGUUUCAAUUUAAGGUACUAUAGUUCUUCCUAAGAGAAAAAAAAAAUAAUAGGUAUGAUCUUUGGCAUGCAGAGAUGGAGUUGACGUAAGAGGAUAUUACGUGUGGUCAUUUCUAGAUGACUUUGAGUGGGAACUUGGUUAUACGGUUCGAUUUGGCAUUAAUUUUGUUGAUUAUGAAAAUGGAUUGAAAAGAUAUUACAAGCACUCUGCUUUAUGGUUCAAAGAUUUCCUCCAAAUGGAGAAUGUAACUUCCUCUUCUUUGUUGUAUUCUCAAUGAUUGAUGGAUUAAUUUCAUAAUACUAUAUAUUUAAUAUUGUUUAUUUAGUGAUAUAAUUAUGUUCUAUAAAUCCCUAUCAUUUUUGGAUUUUGAUAGUAACAACUUAUGAUUAAAUUCAUAAUUAUUGGUUAAGGUUUUCUUAGUUAUGUGUUUUUUUUUUUUAAUAAAGAAUAAUUAAGAUUGUUGUUAUGACUGGGAGGUUUGAAAAUCAGAAGCUAAAAGAAAUCACGAGGAGCUUAGGUGAAGAAAUCUUAAAAAAAUAUAUAAAUUAUUAGAUGAAUUGGGGAAAAUUUGGUAGGUAUGGGUAAGUAGGGCAUUAUUGAAAUUAAUUAUAAGCACUUUAUGCAGAAAUGAGUACUUUUCAGCUAAUAUGUGGUAGUUGUUGAGUUAUUUUCAGCUAGAUCAUAGAUGUCAUUGUAUUCCAUACUUCUCCAUAAACAUUGAUGUUAUUGUAAUACUACAAAUACAGAUGAAUUCAAAAAAUAAAUAAUUUACUUUAAUUAAUCAAUAAAUUGAAAUAACGGUUAAUCUUUGCACUACAAUGAGAACAUCAACCAGACAACGUUCUUUUCAUAUUUUGUCAGUUUUAUAAACUAUAAGAAUUGUAGCAUAAACGGAAUUUGUAAAUUAAAAGGAAUCCAAAUCUUUCAAGUAACGCAUCGUGCAAGUUGAAAAAUAAGAGUUUAUUAUUGGAAAAAAAUAUAUAAGAAGCAAUAUUGGUGUAAAGAAAGAAUGCCUAUUUCUCUUUUGUUUUGCUCUGAUAAAAGAAUUGUUAUCUUCCUACAUAAUUAAUAUUCUGGUAAGUGUCAGUUCUUCUUCUUCCUCUCUUUCUUUCGACUUUUCUUUUCCUUCUCUGUUCUUUCUUCAAUCUCUGCAAUUUCUUCCAUAUCCGGUUAACAGGUUAGGAGGUAUCACAUAUAAAUAUUAUAAUAAUGAAAUAAGCAUUAGAACCACUUAACACCUAUCAUCCUGCUGGGCAAAAGGCACGUUAAUCUUGCAAAAUAUAUCUAAACUUUCUUCAUUUUCUUCUGUGUUUAAUCUUAAUAUUGUUCUUUUAUUUUCAAUUCACCAUUGCUGUUUUUUUAUUAUGAUUAUUGUCUUGUUGACAAAAUGAACCCCCUUUUCUUUUUUCUUUUUUUUUUUUUUUUUUGUCUUUUCUUGACUUUGGGAGACGUUGUGUUGCUCAUGUUCUGUUUUUUUAUUUUUCUGAGAGAUAAUGAACCCCACUAAUCUUGAUGAUGAUGGUUGCAGGGAUUGGUACGAUACUGAAUAUGAAAACUGAACAUCAUCUCUUCUUCUUUCUCAUACCAAUCAUACAUUUGUGGGUUCUGACUGAGGGAUUGGAAGCUUAUAAUCUCCAUAACUCUGUUGCUCCAAUCAGUAGGAAUAGUUUUCCUAAAGAUUUUACAUUCGGAGUAGCUUCAAGUGCUUACCAGGUAAUUAAUUUUAUUUUUUUCCAGGAAAAUGUUUGUGGUUUUACUACAAUUUUCAAUCUCACAUUCGGUUUAGCUUUAAAUUUAGAGUGAAGGAGCAGCAGAUACUGAUGGCAAGAAACCAAGCAUUUGGGAUACCUUUACCAAGAACUACCCACGUAAUAUCCAAAUACAAAACCUAAUUAAUUCAUUAUUGUUUUAAAUUAUAAAUAUUUCAUUUGAAUUUUUCAUGGGAAUUUUUGUAUGGCACAGAAAAAAUAUUCGAUCAUAGCUCCGGUGAGGUUGCUGAGGAUUUUUAUCAUCGUUACGUGGUACGAACCUAAAUAAUUCUUGAAAUUAAGAAAACAUUACAUAUUUGUUCUUCUAAUUAAGUUGUUGUUUUGGUUGAUAUUGUAGGGGGACGUUGCUUUGAUAAAAGAAAUUGGUUUUAACUCCUUCAGAUUCUCAAUCUCAUGGUCAAGAAUAUUACCAUGUAAGAUCAUUAAAUUAAGAAAACAUUAAUUAUCUCGUAAUAUAAUAAGACAAUAAUUUAUUUUAUUUUGCUAAAUUUAAGAAUGGAAUUUUAUGAUCUAACUGGAAUAAUAUUUGGCCUUCAGAUGGAAGAGUUAGUGCAGGAGUGAACCAAGAAGGCAUCAAUUUCUACAAUUCUUUGAUUGAUGAGUUACUAUCAAAUGGUAAGAUUUUACUUCCAAAACGCACGCAUUCAAUCGAUUCAAUUCAAAUUGCUAUAAACCGAAUCAAAUGUAUAUAUUCAUUCUAUUAAUCCUCCAAUUAAUUUGUAACUCAGAGCAGGUAUAGAGCCUUUGGUAACUCUAUUCCAUUGGGAUCUUCCACAAGCCCUUGAAGAUGAUUAUGGUGGAUUUUUAAGCCCCAAGAUUGUGUAAGUCUAAAUUUAAUUAAACAAUCUGUUUAACACUAAUUACCAAUAAUUAAAUAAUUUCACUUCAUUAAUUCAAAAUUUAUAAUAACAUUUGUGCAGGAAUGAUUAUCGUGAUUAUGUGGAAUUUUGCUUUAAAGAAUUUGGAGAUAGAGUUAAAUAUUGGAUUAGCGUUAAUGAGCCAAAUUAUUUUAGUUGCUUUGGAUAUGCAACUGGAGGAACUGCACCUGGUCGUUGCUCUAACUAUAUAGGAAACUGCACAGCAGGAAAUUCUGCCACUGAACCCUACAUUGUGGUUCACCAUUUGAUUCUUUGCCAUGCAACUGCUAUAAAUUUAUAUAAUCAAAAAUACAAGGUAUGCAAUUUUACUUCUAGCACAUGUAUUUAUAUAAUAACCAUUAAUUAGCAAUCUAAAAAGAAUGAUUAAAUGGUUAAUUAGGCUUCUCAGAAGGGAGCAAUUGGGAUUACUGUAACAGCAUUUUGGAAGGUGCCCAAAUUUCAAACAGUUGCUAGCAGAAAGGCUGCAUCUAGAGCCCUUGAUUUUACCAUUGGAUGGUCAUUUUCCUUUCACCAAAUUAACUCUUUAAUUACUAAAUUAAUAAAAAUGUUUAUAUUAAUUAACAAAUAAUAAUCAUUUCCAUGUGUAGGCUUCUUCAUCCUCUAACAUAUGGUGAUUACCCAGAAACAAUGCGAUCUCUGGUCGGAGAUCGAUUGCCUAAAUUUACAGAAGAAGAAUCAAAGAUGAUAAAAGGAGCCAUUGAUUUUGUUGGACUUAAUUACUAUACUGCAAGAUACGUUGAUGAUGCUACAUCUACCAAUUUAAGUUACACAUCAGAUGGCCAUUUCAUUGAAACCAGUUACUAUACUUCCAAAUUUCUCAAUAUCUAAAAUUUCAAUAUAACUCUUAUUAUAUUUAAUUGGUUUUUUUUUUUAUUUUUUUUAUUUUUUUUGCAGCUAACAAAAAUGGAAUUCCUAUCGGCCAACAGGUUCCCUUUGAUUAGCACAUAUAUAUAUAGUUAUUUAUAAUAUAUAUUUGUCAUAUUAAGAAAAAUUAUAUAUAUUAUUUUUGCAGACCGGUUCGAGUUGGCUAUACAUUUAUCCAGAGGGAAUUCGAAAAUUAUUGCUGCAUAUAAAAAGAAAUUACAACAACCCUCCAAUUUAUAUCACUGAAAAUGGUGAGUAAGCAGUCUCAGGUUCAGUUGAAAUUUCUUAAAUAAUAAAAUACAGGAAACUAUUAUUUUUUUUCCUUGGCAGGAUUGGAAGAUAAUAGCUCUAUUUCAAUGAAGGAUGCACUUAAUGAUAGCCUGAGGAUAAAAUACCAUAAACUUCAUCUAUCAUACCUCCUAGAAGCCAUCAAGUGAGUUUUGAACUUUUGAUGUUCAAUAAAUUUUUUUUUUUUUUAAUUUUCAGUUAUUUCAUUAUGAUUAUUUAGUAAUUAUAAAUAUAUUUCUAAAAUUGAAGUAUUUAUAUAUAUAUAUAUAUAUAUGAUUUUGACAGGGAAGGAGUUGAUGUGCGAGGAUAUUACAUAUGGUCAUUUCUGGAUGAUUUUGAGUGGAUGUUUGGUUACACCGUUCGAUUUGGCAUCACAUAUAUCGAUUACGACAAUGGGUUAAAAAGAAUUCUAAAAUCCUCUGCUUUGUGGUUCAAGAAUUUUCUCCAACAAGAAAAUGAAACCUCUGCAAAUUCUUUGUUUUCCUCACAAUGACUUCAAAUUAGAGAAGACGAAAAUGGCAGAUUCAGUCUUCUCAAAACCAAAAAAAGGGCUUCUUUAUCUUGUGGUUGGAACUUGGAAGUUGCUUCUUGUUCCAAGGAAUCUUUUUUAGGUAUUAGAUUCCUUUAUAUUCAUGGAUAAUAUAUUGUAAUUGCACAUUAUAUUAAUAUAAUAUAAUAAUUAAAAAUCUUUUUCUUUUUCUUUUUCUUUUUCUUUAACUAAUAAAAUUUCCUUAAACAAAAAAAGAAAGAAGACUAAUAAUUUCAUCUAAUUAUUAGUUAAAGCAGCCCCGGUAGAGUGCAUGCAUCUUAAUGAGAUGUGUUCUUAGUAGAUUUUAAAAUUUUACAUAUUAUAAUACAAAUUGAGAAUAUUAGACUUUCUGACCUACUUCAACUGUCAAUGUCUAAUCCUUAUGAAAAGAAUUUUUAACUACUAAUGGGUUAGUCUAGAUAAAAAUAACUCAAGAAUUCAUAUUCUUUAAAUAAGAAAUCGAUUAUUCAAUUUUCGUGAACGGUGAAAAUUCUCGCUGAAAGCAUUUUCUCCUAUUGGUUCGUGAAUGGUGAAAAUUUUCACUGAAAGCAUUCUCUCCUAUUGAUCUUACUCAUCUGACGUGGCACGAGCAAAAUUAGGUUUAGUUCAACAAAAUAAGAAUAUAUAUAUAUAUAUAUAUAUAUAUAUGUCCUAACUACCUUUCCCUUUUCUUUUUCUUAUUAGGGUAGAGAACAAAUGAUAAUUCUGUCCUAGUGCAUGAUUCCAUUUUUAUUUUACAAUUAAAUGAUUAAUCAACAAAGAAUGACUUGUAAAAUAAAUAUAAUUAUCAUUUCAUAAUAACAUGCACAUGACUUUAAUUAUUGAAAGUGACAAAUAUAAACCACUAAUUACUAAAUCAAAAUUAAUUAAGAAGAUUACAGUUGGCUUUCCUACAUUUCCACUCAUGCUUUAAUUAGUAUGGAUUAUAUAUUAUGAGGGUCAAUACUCGAUACCUCUCGCCAAUCUCAUAAGUGAAAAGACUAAUCGGACGACACUUGAUUGACAAUCAAUUUGUAAUAUUUGUACGAUAAAAUUAAUUAUUUUGAUAGCUAUUAAUUGUUUUAGUAACGUCUAGUUGUUAGCUAUUUGAAUAAUUUUUUAUAGAACGCUCAAAGUUAAACUUUACAUGAGUUAACUUUUUAUAAAAGACUAACAUCUAAAAGUUAAUUCAAAUACUGUGUUACUAAACACUUUAAAAAGUAGCAUUUUAGCAUUUUAACCGGUCAAAACAUUAAAAGUUACUAAAAAAUUGUUGCGAAAACACAGCUUUAAACUAACAAAUAAAUAGUUUGGACUUGCAGGUUUUACCGGAGGUUGCACAGCAUAUAGCAAUGGACUUUUUGGUGAUAGACGCUGCCAUUUUGAACCCAUAGCAUUGACCGAAACAUGUUCAUCAAAUCCAUGGAAAUCUAUUUAAAUAAUUUAUAACUAAAACAAUUACUUUGACAUAUCAUAUUCAACUCUUUUCUUGACCUUUAAAAUUCCAAUUCAAACUUAAUUGGAAGCUACAAUACGUAAUUAAAACCCUGAAAAUUCUAAGCAAGUUUAUCUUUUCUGUUUUUAUAUAUGAAAAAAGUGGAAGCUGACAUGUCAAUGAGCAUGCAGGGAACUAGUCAGAAGUUGCUGAUUCGGAAUUAAAAUUGUUUUUUUAAAUCACUAUGCUCAAUGUGAAACUAUAAAAACGUGUCGAAGUCUCAUCAUUCUUGUUUUAGAACAAGAACAAACACAGUCAGUAUUGAAGGCUUCUGUUCUAUUUUUCAGGGAAAGAAUUUGAAGGUAUGACCUGAAACUAUGACUUUCUUUUCUUUUGCUUGAUUUUCUUAUUCCUUUCCUCUAUCAAUCUCAUAUCAUCAGUACAAUUACUACGCCAUUAUUGUUGUUUAAAAGGCUUCGAUCUCAUAAUUAUAGGGAAUUUAUCAGAUGGCUUUGUGCAAGCAAGGAAUGAAAAAUCAACUUAGCCUUCUGCUCCUCCUCCUCCUCCUCUGCCUUCUCAAUCUUGCUUUUUUGAUCAGUUAUGCAGAAGGAAAAAGAAUAUCUCAGUCUUUUACUACAUUUAAUAGGAGCAAUUUUCCAACUGGUUUUGUGUUUGGAGCAGGAUCAAGUGCUUAUCAAGUAAGUGCCAAAUUAUUAUUUCUUGAUUUUUUUUUCCUUUUUUUUUAAUUAUUGUAUUUUCUUUUUCUUUCUGCAACUUAAUUAGUAUGAAGGAGCAGCAGCAAUGGGUGGCAGGAAACCAAGUAUAUGGGAUACUUUCACUAGACAACAUCCAGGUCUUUCAUUAAGUUUCUUUUUCUAAUAAUGGUCAAUAAAUCCAAUCAAUGUCAAGAAAUUUCAUUUUCUUUUUUAUGAAAUUGAAACUUAAUUAAUUGUCCAAUGCAUUAAUUAUUAUGCUCUCACGACAGAAAAAAUUGCAGACCACAGCAGUGGAAAUGUAGCUGAAGAUUUUUACCAUCGUUUUGAGGUAUAUUAUCCUACACAGUAUUUGAUAUUUCUAAUCUUGAUUUUUCUCUUAUUGACUAUAAAUAUAACUGAAAAAUGAUGUUCCAGGAAGACAUUCCUCUGAUGAAAGAAAUUGGUUUAGACUCCUAUAGAUUCUCCAUUUCCUGGCCAAGAAUACUACCUGGUAAAAGAAAAUUAUUAACUUACAAAAAUUCUUAUUUAUGAUUUCAUGUCUAAGUAGUAAUUUUGGUACAAAUGGAAAUUUUUCUUGUUAAAGGGGGAAAAAUUAGUAGGGGAGUGAACUGGGAAGGAGUCAACUUCUACAAUUAUCUCAUCGACGAGCUUCUUUCGAAUGGUAAAUUAAUUUCCAAUAAUCUCUCUCUUUUAAUAUGCAAUUUUGUUUCUAACUCCUUUAAUUUUGUUCAGGUAUACAGCCACUUGUGACCUUAUUCCACUGGGAUGUUCCACAAGUUCUUGAAGAUGAAUAUAUGGGACUAUUAAGCCCUAAUAUUGUGUAAGUGAAACCAAAAACUUUUUUAUUUUUCCAAAAUAGUAUGCAAUUAAUCAUCUUAAGAUGAAUCAGAAGUUGAUUACAGUUUCUUUUUCUUGAUUAGGAAUGAUUAUUAUGACUAUGUAGACUUUUGCUUCAACCAAUUUGGUGACAGAGUGAAAAAUUGGGUUACUGUGAAUGAGCCUAAUUUAAUGGCAAUGUAUGGAUAUGCAAAAGGUGAUAAUGCACCCGGUCGAUGUUCGGAUUAUAUCGGAAAUUGCAGUUCCGGCAACUCGGCAACAGAACCAUACAUUGUACUCCACCACUUACUUCUUUGCCAUGCAUCUGCUGUUAAAUUAUACAGAGAAAAGUAUCAGGUUAGUACUUAAAUAAUUAGUGUUCAUCAAUAAAAUAAAUGUUCAAGUUUUUGACAUGAGUAAUGAAUUUACUAUAAUUUUAGGCCUCUCAAAGGGGAAUUAUUGGGAUUUCAGUAUUUACAAAAUGGACAGUACCAAAAUAUCAGAAUAUUGCCAGCGGAAAAGCUGCAGAUCGAGCUCGCGAUUUUUUAUAUGGAUGGUGAGUUCUGUUUAGUCAGUUUUCUUGAGAAAAUAGAAUUUAGAAUAUAUUAUUAUGUCUUCGUACUUGCUAAGAGCAAUAUAUGGUUGGUUUUUGUAGGAUUAUGCAUCCAAUUAUUUAUGGUGACUAUCCAGAAAGCAUGAGAUAUUUGGUGGGUAAUAGACUACCAAAAUUCACAAGAAAGCAAGCAGAAAUGGUUAAAGGAUCCUUUGAUUUCAUCGGAAUAAAUUAUUAUACCGCAAUGUAUGCAGAUGAUGUUACAUCUUAUAGUAAUGUCAAUCUGAGUUAUACGACAGAUAGCCGAGUUAAUCUAACAAGUAAUAAUCAAACAACUUCUGAACUCUCUGAUAUGAACAAGGAACAUUCAUUUCCAUCGGCUAAUUACAUAACAUGCAACUUUCUUUCUUUUUCUUUUGGUUUCAGGUGAGAAAAAUGGGAUUCCUAUUGGUCAAUCAGUAAGCAAUCUCUCUCUUUCUCUCCCUCACACACACACGAAUGUAGACUACGAAUUUGAACAGCACUGAUUAAACAAUUCUUCUCUUUAUAUUGGUUUUUGCAGACUGGUUGCAGCUGGCUAUACAUAUACCCAAAAGGAAUUUAUGAACUUAUGUUGUAUUUAAAGAGGAAAUACAACAAUCCAAUCAUUUACAUUACCGAGAAUGGUAAAACAGAAUAAUCAGUAUAAAUUUCUUUAUAAACAUAAAUAUUGGUUAAAUGGAAUUACCGUAAGUUCAAGAAAUGUUGUUUCUUCUUCUGGUUUACAGGAAUGGGUGACACUGGCUCAUUGCCUCUUACCGAUGCUCUUGAAGACCAAUUAAGGAUAAAAUAUCACUAUCUUCAUCUCUUAUAUCUCUUAAAAGCUAUCAAGUAAUGUCCCCAUCGAAUUCAAUUUUCAGUUGCCAAGAAACUUUCAGUUGUUCAUAUUUUUAUGAUACUGAUGAUUUUGCAGGGAAGGUGUUGAUGUGAGAGGAUACUAUAUUUGGUCAUUUCUCGACGACUUUGAAUGGGAUUUGGGUUAUACUGUUCGAUUUGGAAUCACUUACGUUGAUUAUAAAAAUGAAUUAAGAAGAUAUCUCAAACAUUCUGCUUUGUGGUUCAAAAGACUUCUCCAAAAUGAGAACAGAACAUCAACAUCUUCUUUCUUGUACUCUCAAUGAUUAUACUGAAAUUAUAUUAAUUGUAAAGUUUUAUAAAUUUCAUUUGUAAAUUCAUUCAAAAUUGUAAUAGAAAAGAGAAGAUUAAUUGAAAAUGUAAUUAAUUAAUUAAUAGAAAAGAGAAUCUCUCCCUUUUUAAUAAAUAAAACUCAUCUAACAGGCUUGAUUUUCGCAUAAUUAACACUUUUAAAAUCAGAUUGGAUAUAGAACCGGUUUGAUGGCUGGAUCACACUCGGAUAGGAUCAACUCGAUUCAAUUGAAUUUUUCCUUUUUUCUUUUUAUUUUUUUGAAUUAGUAUAAAAAUUACAAAUAUAUAAUAAUCAAUUACAGUUUGUUGAAUUAGUACUUGUUAUUUACAUGAUACAUGAAAAAAAAAAAACAUGUAACUUAAAAUAAUUUAUUUUGAAAUUAUUCUUGAACAUUAGUACCUUAAAUUAUUCUUGAACAUUAGUACCAAGAUCUUGUUAUAUAUACAUAAAAACUAAAAAUAGAUCUAUUGAGAACUAUCUGCAUUUGAAAAAUAAAAAAAAUAGAGAAAACAUAUUUUAAUUUGUUUCAUAAUUAAUAGUAUUAAUUCAUAUUUCACCUACAAAAAUGUUAAUGAAUUAUUAAAAUGUUAUUAGUCAUUUUAAUCCGGGUUUGUAGGUUCCAUUCUGUUUUUAAAGUCAAAUCAGAUAAGAUCAAUUAAUGGUUCGAGUGUCGACGCUAGAACCGCCUGUCUAGUACUUGCUCCAAAUGGAAGUAGAGAUUAGCAACUAGCUUUGUGCUUCAAAUACCGAACUUCCUCCGAUAGAUAUGCACAUAUAUAUGGACCAUUCUUUUGCUGGAGAAAGCGAAAUGUCACGAACAAUGUACAGCACGCCUUUAAUGCUCUGCUCGAAAGCGAAAUGUCACCAACAAUGUACAGCACGCCUUUAAUGCUCUGCUCGAAACUUUUCCUUUCAUUUUUCAACAUAUUAGACAUCAUAGAUAAAACCAUAUGAAACUAGUAGCAGAAACCAUAUGAAACCAUAAUAUAACAAUAAAGAAUCAAGAAUGAAAAUUCAGCUUUGUUUCUCUAUCUACCUCUCAAAUCUUGCUGGUUUUCUCGCUUCAGCUGGCAGCCAAAGUCCUCUUGGCUCUGUGUCUCCACUUAACAGAAGUAGUUUCCCAGAUGGUUUUGUGUUCGGAGCAGGAUCAAGUGCUUACCAAGUAAGUAUAGACAACAUUUUUUGCAUAUUUUCUUUAUUUUUAGCCUUAUUUGCAUUUACUAGUAGUUAGUAACCGUUUCGUCUGCUUCUUAGUAUGAAGGAGCAGCAGCAAUGGAUGGCAGGAGACCAAGUAUAUGGGACACUUUCACUAGAAAACAUCCAGAAAAAAUUGCAGAUCAUAGUAAUGGGAAUGUUGCAGAUGAUUUCUACCAGCUUUAUGAGGUAUUUGUUGAGCCUGUCAUUGAUAAUUUUUCUCUUAUUAAUAAGCAUAUCAUUGUUAAUCUCUAUGUUAAUUACAGUAUGACAUUCCUCUUAUGAAAGAAAUUGGUUUAGACUCCUUUAGAUUCUCACUCUCAUGGUCAAGAAUAUUGCCUGGUAAAUAAUCUUUAUGAAAUCAAUUCUUUAUUUAUCGUGGAAAAUAGCAUCCAUUGAUGUUAAAUAUGGAAUUUGAUUGAUUUUGAUUUGAUCUUCAGAGGGAAAAAUUAGCAAGGGAGUGAACUGGGAAGGUGUCAAGUUCUACAAUUCUCUAAUCGAUAAGCUCCUCUCCAAUGGUAACUAAGGCUCAGUUUGUUUCCAUAAAAUAACUUGUAAGAAAAUAUUUUUCACAAUUCCAUUGUUUGGAGCGUUCAGGAAAAUACAUAUUUCUUGAUUAAAGGAAAACUUUCAAGAGAGUAAAAUAUUUUUAAAAGAUUGACAACCUUAUUAUAACUUUAUAAAUCCAUAUUUUUUAAUUUAUUAAUCAUAGAUAGCCACUAUCACCACCAGUCACCAUUCAUUAACAGGCAAUCGACAACUUUCAUGAUUUACCUUUUUUUUUUUUUGCAUUCUUCUCAUAUUUAAUAAUAAAAUUUUUAAAAUACAAAAUUUUUAUCAUUAUUAAUAUUUUUAUGAUCUCAUGAGUUAAAAUUUUUAAUAAUUUUAACUAAUUUUCAAUGCUGCAACAAUACUUUUUAAAGGCAAAUUAUUUUCUGAAAACAAAAGGAGCCUAACACUACGAUAUUUUUCGCACAUCACAAGCUAAGCAUUUUCUUCAACUUUCUUUAUAAUCAAUAAACAGGCAUACAACCCUUUGUGACCUUAUUCCAUUGGGAUCUUCCACAAGCUCUUGAAGAUGAAUACAAAGGAUUGUUAAGCCCUGAGAUAUUGUAAGUAAGAAACUCAUUUCAAAUUUAUCCUAAUUAAUUAUAAUUUCUAAAGUUAAUUCUCUUUCUAAUUAGGAAUGAUUAUUAUGAAUAUGCGGACUUCUGUUUCAAAGAAUUUGGAGAUAGAGUGAAAUAUUGGGUUACUAUCAACGAGCCAAAUUUAAUGAGUGAUUUUGGAUAUGCAAUGGGUAAAUAUGCACCUGGUAGAUGUUCUGAUUAUAUCGGAAAUUGCACAGACGGGAACUCUGCAACAGAACCAUAUAUAGUAGUCAACAAUUUGAUCCUUUGCCAUGCAAAUGCUGUGAAAUUAUACAGACAAAAAUAUCAGGUUUUUCCAUAGAUAAAGCUGAACUUGUUUGAUAUUGCUUCUGUCCCAAAAUAUAAGUCAUUUAAAAUUUUUAUAUAGGAAUUAAAGAAAAUAAUUAAUUCUCUUAAAUUAUAAUAAAACCAAAUGUAACUUGUAAAAGUAGUUAGUGUAUCUAAAGUAAUAUUGGAAAAAUAUCAAACAACUUAUAUUUUGGGACGAAGUGAGUACCUUUUACUAUUUAUAAUGGAUUUUUGAUUUUGAUAACAAUUAAAUUAACACAACUUAGACAAACAGGAUUCUCAAGGUGGAAUUAUUGGAAUUUCAGUUCAUACAAAGUGGAUGAUACCUAAAUAUCACAAUGUUGCAAGCCAGAAUGCUUCCUCUCGAGCUUGUGAUUUUGCUUUUGGAUGGUAAUUAAGUUAUUCCUAGUCGAUAAUAUCUGUAUGCAUAUCCAUAUCCUUGGCCAAAUAUAUAUCUCAAAUAUUUAUUUCUCACUUGUAUUUAGGAUAAUUCAUCCAAUAACCUAUGGCGAUUAUCCAGAAACCAUGAGAUAUUUGGUGGGUAAAAGACUACCAGAAUUUACAGAAGCAGAAAUGGAACUGGUGAAAGGGUCUUUUGAUUUCAUUGGAAUUAAUUACUAUACAACAAAUUAUGCAGAUGAUGUUAAAUAUUAUGACAGUAUCCAUUUGAGCUAUACAACAGAUAGCCGAGUCAAUGAAACUUGUAAUUUCACAAACUCUAACCUUCAUGAAACUGAAAGGGAACUGCAUUUCUUUUUUCUAAUUUUCCUUCUGUCUCAGAUGAGAAAAAUGGGAUUCCGAUAGGUCAACCGGUAAGCUCUCUUUUCUGUAAUAUAUUCAACUCCAUAUUGUAUAUGCAUGCAUAUCAAGAACUUGACAGAAAUGGUUUUAUGUUGGUUUAAUUUGAAGACUUCUUGUAGCUGGUUGUACAUUUACCCUAAAGGAAUCUAUGAACUUUUGCUGUAUCUGAAGAGAAAAUACAACAAUCCUCGCAUUUAUAUCACUGAGAAUGGUAAACCAAAUCCAUUUUCUUAUUUAUAAAUUUAAAUGUAAUGAGUUCAAGAAAUGCUGCUUCUUCUUCUGGUUUACAGGAAUGGGUGACAGUAGCUCAUUGUCUCUUCCUGAUGCUCUUGAAGACCAAUUAAGGAUAAAAUAUCAUUAUCUUCAUCUAUUACAUCUCUUAGAAGCUAUCAAGUAAUGUCACCAUUGAAUUCAAUUUUUAAUCGCCAAGAACUUGAUAGUUAUUUAUAUUUUUAUGAUACUGAUAAUUUUGCAGGGAAGGUGUUGAUGUGAAAGGAUACUACAUUUGGUCAUUUCUCGACGACUUCGAAUGGAAUUUGGGUUACACUGUUCGAUUUGGAAUUAAUUAUGUUGAUUAUAGAAAUGAAUUAAGAAGAUAUCCCAAAUAUUCUGCUUUAUGGUUCAAAAGAUUUCUCCAAAAUGAGAAUAGAACCUCAACAUCUUCUUUCUUGUACUCUCAAUAAUCAUUCCAAAACUAUAUUACUCUCGUCGUCCCAAAAUAUUAAUCGUUUUUAGUGAAUAUUUUAUCUCAAAAUAUAAGUCGUUUUAAGUAUUUUAAAGAGUAAUAAAUAUUUUUUUUUCGAUGUUACCCUUAUUUAUAUCGUAUAUAAUAACUACCCUUUUGGGAAGUUUCAAAUAUGUUCACUUUCAGACCUGAAACAAGCUCAAACUGCAACCCAAGAACUGGCUGAGAACAACUUUGCACAAACAGCCUAUUUUAUAUAUUCUAGUUUUUCAUUUGUCUUUGUCUCUCAUCUGUUGUGUAAUUCAAUAACUAUAAGAGAUG